Molecule: ribosomal RNA, 253 nt
Filed under: uncultured bacterium
Lineage: Bacteria
Description: partial 16S ribosomal RNA
Rfam family: Bacterial small subunit ribosomal RNA
Source: RNAcentral
UACGAAGGGGGCUAGCGUUGCUCGGAAUUACUGGGCGUAAAGGGCGCGUAGGCGGUCUUUUAAGUUCCGUGUGAAAUCCCUCGGCUCAACUGGGGAACUGCACGGAAAACUGGAAGGCUUGAGUUCGGGAGAGGGAAGCGGAAUUCCGGGUGUAGCGGUGAAAUGCGUAGAUAUCCGGAGGAACACCGGUGGCGAAGGCGGCUUCCUGGACCGACACUGACGCUGAGGCGCGAAAGCUAGGGGAGCAAACGGG